CCUACGGGAGGCUGCAGUCGAGGAUCAUUCACAAUGGGGGAAACCCUGAUGGUGCGACGCCGCGUGGGGGAAUGAAGGUCUUCGGAUUGUAAACCCCUGUCAUGUGGGAGCAAAUUAAAAAGAUAGUACCACAAGAGGAAGAGACGGCUAACUCUGUGCCAGCAGCCGCAGUAAUACAGAGGUCUCAAGCGUUGUUCGGAAUCACUGGGCGUAAAGCGUGCGUAGGCUGUUUCGUAAGUCGUGUGUGAAAGGCGCGGGCUCAACCCGCGGACGGCCCAUGAUACUGCGAGACUAGAGUGAUGGAGGGGGAGGCGGAAUUCUUGGUGUAGCAGUGAAAUGCGUAGAUAUCGAGAGGAACACCGGCGGCGAAGGCGGGUUCCUGGACAUUAACUGACGCUGAGGCACGAAGGCGAGGGGAGCGAACGGGAUUAGAUACCCUAGUAGUC
This 446-nucleotide ribosomal RNA is filed under the name uncultured bacterium. Its description in RNAcentral is "partial 16S ribosomal RNA". It matches the Rfam family "Bacterial small subunit ribosomal RNA", at positions 338 to 795 of the family's 1533-position model. The record is from RNAcentral.